GUCAUUGAAUCAUGGGGGCUGAUUUUCCUGUGCUGUUCUCAUGAUAGUGAAUAAGUCUUAUGAGAUCUGAUGGUUUUAUAAAGGGCAAUUCCCCUGCACACACACUUUUGACUGCCAUCAUAUAAGAUGUGCCUUUGCUCCUCCAUCACCUUCUGCCAUGAUUGUGAGGCCUCCCCAGCCACGUGAAACUCAUCUUGCUUCAGGACACAUACAUUUUCUGCUCCUCUAACCAGUAAACUUACUUAGGCAGAUCCUCCCUCUGCACUGGAAGGCCUGCAGAUCUGAGAAGGCUGGAGUGCAAUGGCGCGAUCUCGGCUCACUGCAACCUCCACCUCCUGGGUUCAAGCGAUUCUCCUGCCUCAGCCUCCCGAGUAGCUGGGACUACAUGUGUGGCCCACCACACCCAGGGACAUGGAUGAAGCUGGAAACCAUCAUUCUCAGCAAACUAUCACAAGGACAGAAAACCAAACACCGCGUGUUCUCACUCAUAGGUGGGAACUGAACAAUGAGAACACUUGGACACAGGUAACUUUGGGCCACUUUAUAAUGGCCCAGAUGUCUCUGAUCCUGUAGUGUGGUGCCCUAGCCUGGUCAACGCUUGGAGUUUUAUAACCCUCCAGAGCUUCAGUUUCUUCAUCUAUAAAAUAAUCAUGGGGCGUCUACUAGUUCUUGCAAUUAAUCUGGUAAAACCUUUUUCUUCAACAAACACCAAUAAAGAGGAUCAAAAAUAGCUUGCUUUUUUUUUUUCAUGCUGGAGAGUGGCACAUAUCCACUGUUUUAUCUAGGGUUAAGUCCCAGGAAUAUCUCCUGUUCUCUGU
Symphalangus syndactylus (siamang) is the source of this 818-nucleotide long non-coding RNA. RefSeq lists it as uncharacterized. The record is from RefSeq and is a predicted model, not a curated record. Lineage: Eukaryota; Metazoa; Chordata; Mammalia; Primates; Hylobatidae.